UACUAUGGCCAAGAUGUCUUGCAGCGCUC
RNAcentral lists this non-coding RNA (29 nucleotides) under Mus musculus (house mouse). Lineage: Eukaryota; Metazoa; Chordata; Mammalia; Rodentia; Muridae. The record is from RNAcentral.